This 65-nucleotide transfer RNA is filed under the name Dipodomys ordii (Ord's kangaroo rat). It matches the Rfam family "tRNA". From Rfam's summary of the family: Transfer RNA (tRNA) molecules are approximately 80 nucleotides in length. Their secondary structure includes four short double-helical elements and three loops (D, anti-codon, and T loops). The record is from Rfam by way of RNAcentral. Lineage: Eukaryota; Metazoa; Chordata; Mammalia; Rodentia; Heteromyidae.
GGUGGCUCAGUGGUAGAGCACUUGCCUUGCAUGCCUGAAGCCCUGGGUUCAAUUCCUUGGCACCA